UAGGGAUAUAAACCCCAGACAUUAGAGCUGGGAGUGGGCAACCCCCUUUGGGUCCCCUCCCAUUGUAUGGGAGCUCUGUUUUCACUCUAUUAAAUCUUGCAACUGCAUGCCCUUCUGGUCCGUGUUUGUUCCGGCUCGAGCUGAGCUUUCGCUCGCCGUCCACCACUGCUGAAUGCCACCAUCGCAGACCUGCCACUGACUUUCACCCCUCUGGAUCCGGCAGGGUGUCUGCUGUGUUUCUGAUCCAGGGAGGCGCCCAUUGUUGCUCCCGAUCGGGCUAGGGUCUCGCCAUUGUUCCUGCGCGGCUAAGUGCCUGGGUUCAUCCUAACUGAGCUCAACACUAGUUGCUGGGUUCCACGGUUCUCUUCCAUGACCCACAGCUUCGAAUAGAGCUAUAACACUCACCUCAUGGCCCAAGGUUCCAAGGAAUCCACGAGGCCAAGAACCCCAGGUCAGAGAACAAAAGGCUUGCCGCCAUCUUCGGAGCGUCCUGCCGCCAUCCUGGGAGCUCUAAGAACAAAGAUCCACCUGUAACAAUAAGACUUAUUGUCCAGAAGAAGAAUGUCACAAGGUCGAUUGAUCAGUUAAGGGUCUUACUGUUACCCAGGAUGAAGUACUGUGGCAUGAUCACAGCUCCCUGAAGCCUCAACCUCUCCAAGCUCAGUUGGACCGACUGUGACAUUUGGGGAAACCCCACAGAACAGGUGAAGCUCACAAAAUUUCCCUGGGUGUUGCUGCCUUCCUGGAAGCCAGAGCCAAAAAAAAAAAGAGGACAUGCAGAUGCACAUGGGAGGAUUUUGUGGGCCAUGGUUAUCAGGGCACAACCCCUUGGCUCACCUUCCUCUGGUGAGAAAACACUUCCAGUGCCACACCUCAGCCUCCUUCCUCUGGUGAAAAAACACUUCCAGUGCCACACCUCAGCCUCCUUCCUGUGGUGAAAAAACACUUCCAGCGCCACACCUCAGCCUCCUUCCUCUGGUAAAAAACACUUCCAGUGCCACACCUCAGCCUCCUUCCUCUGGUGAAAAAAUAACUUCCAGAGCUACACCUCACCCUCCUUCCUCUGGUGAGAAACCACUUCCAGUGCCACACCUCAGCCUCCUUCCUCUGGUCACAAAACACUUCCAGUGCCACAACUCAGCCUCCUUCAACUGGUGAGAAAACACUUCCAGUGCCACACCUCAGCCUCCUUCCUGUGGUCACAAAACACUUCCGGUACUACACAUCACUGCUGGAGAACUGGAGAGUGGAGUCUUCCAGCCCAAGAAGAAAGAAAUAUAGGAUUUUGUCAAGUACCAGAAGUUUCUGCCACACUCAGUGGGCAUUCUUUGAGUUAGUCUUUUUAGUAUACUUCACUAAAAACUUUGAGAGAUGAACCCCUAAUAUAGGUCCUGCAAAUAACAAGUAUUCAACAAAUCCUGUUGAAUCAAUAAAUGAAUCACCUCUUCCAAAAUAAACUUAAUUUUUUAAGUUACUA
Long non-coding RNA from Symphalangus syndactylus (siamang), 1477 nucleotides. RefSeq lists it as uncharacterized. The record is from RefSeq and is a predicted model, not a curated record. NCBI's taxonomy places the organism in Eukaryota, Metazoa, Chordata, Mammalia, Primates, Hylobatidae.